AUGUCCGUGGACGACUGCUUCGUCCCGUUCCACUCUCCUCUCCGGGAGCCGACAGCCUACGACCGCUGGGGGAAGGGCCCGCAACCCUGCUGGUCGCAGCUCGAUCUGGACAGGUGCGCGGGAGGCUCGCAAGGGCAAGGCGGCGUCGACAGGCGCAUCCUGCAGUUUCUCAACCGCCCCGUCGCUGUCCCCCCAAGGCGCCUGCCGCCGCCCCUCGGCCCGCUGCCCAAGCUCUCGAAGCCGCCGUCCCAGCACAAGGAGAAUUUGCCAGAGGAGCCAAAGCAACACCAUCCUGCUCAAGCUGCUGUCUCAUCCGCUGCUUCCAGGGGGAGGUACGCAAGGAGUCGGGCUGGAUGGGCUUCCAAGGACGGGAGUACCCCAUGCAUCAGGAGCCGAGCUGCCUGUGCUUCCAAGGAGAGGAGCACUCCUGAAGGUAUCAACAUGGAGGAACAUGGAUUUAGGUUUCAGUUCACUUUCCCUGAACCCGAUUAUGGGGAGUACGGCGCCGAUUUCGGUGAGGAAGAGGAGUGUGUACCGAGGCAGAGGAAACCUCCGGAAGUAAGGAAUGCACUACGUGAGAAGAGAGUCGCGUUUAGGCAAAAGACUGGGCGGCACCAUGCAAAGGUUGCCCUGCGUAAGUACAACAGAGCAAACAACACCAAGUUUGAGCUGGUGGAGGUGCCAGUGAUCCGUGAGUUUUGGGAGUUUGGAGGGGGCUGCAUCCAUUACAACUUCACGGCUAAGCAAGCAGAGGAUCAUCAUCAUUCUGCUGAUGCCGACAGCACCAAGCUCUUCUUCUCUGAGGUCAACUCCGCUUUCCAUGGCGAGAAGGAUGUGGUCCUGUGCUGCAUCGUUGGAGAACAUGAUAAUGGGCAUUGCUACGGCUGCGAAGGCUUCAAGCCAACCGUUGUUCACCCUAGCAGCCAAGCAUAUGGCGGUGGUAGUAGUACUUGCAUUGAUUUUGCUGGUUCAGACGGAAGCUCGGAGAGUGAUUAA
RNAcentral lists this ribosomal RNA (996 nucleotides) under Triticum aestivum (bread wheat). Its description in RNAcentral is "partial small subunit ribosomal RNA". The record is from RNAcentral. Lineage: Eukaryota; Viridiplantae; Streptophyta; Magnoliopsida; Poales; Poaceae.